UGGCGGUGCCUGACGGCGCGUCUGACGCGGAGCUGGGUGGGGUAGAGAGUAGGGGGCGGUAGUCAGGGGUGGUGGGAGAAGGAGGAGGCGGCGGCGGUGAAUCUUCUAUAAAUGGCGCCGAAGCAGGACCCGAAGCCUAAAUUCCAGGAGGGUGAGAGAGUGCUGUGCUUUCAUGGGCCUCUUCUGCACGAAGCAAAGUGUGUAAAAGUUGCCAUAAAGAAUAAACAGGUCAAAUACUUCAUCCAUUACAGUGGUUGGAAUAAAAAUUGGGAUGAAUGGGUUCCGGAAAGCAGAGUACUCAAGUAUGUGGAUACCAAUUUACAAAAACAGAGAGAACUUCAAAAAGCCAACCAGGAGCAGUAUGCAGAGGGGAAGAUGCGAGGGGCUGCCCCUGGAAAGAAGACUGCUGGGCUACAACAAAAAAAUAUUGAAGUGAAAACGAAAAAGAACAAACAAAAGACACCUGGAAAUGGAGAUGGUGGCAGCACUAGUGAAACACCUCAGCCUCCUCGCAAGAAAAGGGCUCGAGUAGAUCCUACUGUUGAAAACGAGGAAUCAUUUAUGAGCAGAGUUGAAGUUAAAGUCAAGAUUCCUGAAGAACUGAAGCCAUGGCUUGUUGAUGACUGGGACUUAAUUACCCGGCAAAAACAGCUCUUCUAUCUUCCUGCCAAGAAGAACGUGGAUUCCAUCCUAGAGGAUUAUGCAAAUUACAAGAAAUCGCGAGGAAACACAGAUAAUAAGGAGUAUGCAGUCAAUGAGGUUGUGGCCGGGAUAAAGGAAUACUUCAAUGUGAUGUUGGGCACUCAACUGCUCUACAAAUUUGAGAGGCCGCAGUACGCUGAGAUCCUUGCAGACCACCCUGAUGCACCCAUGUCCCAGGUGUACGGGGCGCCACAUCUCCUGAGACUGUUUGUACGAAUUGGAGCAAUGUUGGCCUAUACACCUCUGGAUGAGAAGAGCCUUGCUUUAUUACUGAAUUAUCUUCACGAUUUCCUAAGAUACCUGGCAAAGAACUCUGCAACUUUGUUUAGUGCCAGUGAUUAUGAAGUGGCUCCCCCUGAGUACCAUCGGAAAGCCGUGUGAGGCACGUGCACCCACCCAUGUUUGAUCUCUGUAAACACCUUUUUGUUUCUUAGUCCUUCUCUUGUACAAACAAUGUACUUUGGAAAUGUUCGUGUAUAACAAAAUUGAUGUUUGUUUUCUGUUUGAUUUUAAACAGAGAAAAUAAAAGGAGUUACAGCUCCUUUUCUUUCCUUUUUUUCAUUUCAAAGUUGCUACCAGUGUAUUCAGUGAUGGGCAACAGAGAGACAUAACUGUAGAGUGUUUAUUGCUUCGUUGACAAAGCUGCUUUUGAACGCUGGUGGUUUCUAUUCCUUUGACACUACGCACUUUUAUAAUAUGUGUUAAUGCUAUAUGACAGAAUGCUCUGAUUCCUAGUGCCAAAGGUUCAAUUCAGUGUAUAUAACUGAACACUCAUCCAUUUGUGCUCCCCCUUUUUUUUAUGGUGCUUAAAGAGCCCAUCCUUUGCAAGUCAUCCAUCCAUGUUGUUCCUUAGGCAUUUUAUCUUUGCUCAGAUUGUUGAAGAACGGUGGCUUGUUUCAUGGUUUUUGUAUUUGUGUCUAAUGCACGUUUUAACAUGAUAGACGCAAUGCAUUGUGUAGCUACAGUUUUCUGGAAAAGUUAAUCUUUUAGAAAUUGUUUUUCAGAUCUUCAAUAAAUUUUUUCUUUAAAUUUCAAAAAAAAAAAA
This is a non-coding RNA of Odocoileus virginianus texanus, 1747 nucleotides long. Lineage: Eukaryota; Metazoa; Chordata; Mammalia; Artiodactyla; Cervidae. The record is from RefSeq and is a predicted model, not a curated record.